AAGACCUUGCACUUUUGGAGCGGCCGAUGUCUGAUUAGCUAGUUGGUGGGGUAAUGGCCUACCAAAGCUUCGAUCAGUAGCUGGUCUGAGAGGACGGCCAGCCACACUGGGACUGAGACACGGCCCAGACUCCUACGGGAGGCAGCAGUGGGGAAUUUUGGACAAUGGGCGCAAGCCUGAUCCAGCCAUGCCGCGUGAGUGAAGAAGGCCUUCGGGUUGUAAAGCUCUUUCAGCCGGGAAGAAAAGGUUGCGAUUAAUAAUCGCAAUUUAUGACGGUACCGGAAGAAGAAGCACCGGCUAACUACGUGCCAGCAGCCGCGGUAAUACGUAGGGUACGAGCGUUAAUCGGAAUUACUGGGCGUAAAGGGUGCGCAGGCGGUUUUGUAAGUCAGAUGUGAAAUCCCCGGGCUUAACCUGGGAACU
Molecule: ribosomal RNA, 423 nt
Filed under: uncultured bacterium
Lineage: Bacteria
Description: bacterial SSU rRNA
Rfam family: Bacterial small subunit ribosomal RNA
Source: RNAcentral